AACGAACGCUGGCGGCAGGCCUAAUACAUGCAAGUCGAACGAUCUCUUCGGAGAGAGUGGCGCACGGGUGAGUAACGCGUGGGAACGUGCCCCUGGGUGCGGAACAACGUCGGGAAACUGACGCUAAUACCGCAUAAUGACUUCGGUCCGAAGAUUUAUCGCCCAGGGAUCGGCCCGCGUCUGAUUAGCUAGUUGGCGGGGUAAAAGCCCACCAAGGCGACGAUCAGUAGCUGGUCUGAGAGGAUGAUCAGCCACACUGGGACUGAGACACGGCCCAGACUCCUACGGGAGGCAGCAGUAAGGGAUAUUGGACAAUGGAGGAAACUCUGAUCCAGCCAUGCCGCGUGAGUGAAGAAGGCCUUCGGGUUGUAAAGCUCUUUCAGUGGUGAAGAUGAUGACGGUAACCACAGAAGAAGCUCCGGCUAACUUCGUGCCAGCAGCCGCGGUAAUACGAAGGGGGCGAGCGUUGUUCGGAAUCACUGGGCUUAAAGCGUACG
Molecule: ribosomal RNA, 497 nt
Filed under: uncultured bacterium
Lineage: Bacteria
Description: bacterial SSU rRNA
Rfam family: Bacterial small subunit ribosomal RNA
Source: RNAcentral